GACGAACGCUGGCGGCGUGCUUAACACAUGCAAGUCGAACGGAGCGAAUGAAAGCUUGCUUUUAUAAGCUUAGUGGCAAACGGGUGAGUAACACGUAGACAACCUGCCGACAGGAUGGGGACAACAUUCCGAAAGGAAUGCUAAUACCGAAUGAAGUGCAGGGGAGGCAUCUCCCCUGCAUGAAAGAUGGCCUCUAUAUAUAAGCUAUCACCUGUCGAUGGGUCUGCGUCUGAUUAGCUGGUAGGUGAGGUAACGGCUCACCUAGGCGACGAUCAGUAGCCGGUCUGAGAGGAUGAACGGCCACAUUGGGACUGAGACACGGCCCAGACUCCUACGGGAGGCAGCAGUGGGGAAUCUUCCGCAAUGGGCGCAAGCCUGACGGAGCAACGCCGCGUGAGUGAAGAAGGUCUUCGGAUCGUAAAGCUCUGUUGAUGGGGACGAACGUGCCUAAUGCGAAUAGUAUUAGGUAAUG
RNAcentral lists this ribosomal RNA (472 nucleotides) under Centipeda noxia. RNAcentral describes it as "bacterial SSU rRNA". It matches the Rfam family "Bacterial small subunit ribosomal RNA", at positions 28 to 471 of the family's 1533-position model. The record is from RNAcentral. Lineage: Bacteria; Bacillati; Bacillota; Negativicutes; Selenomonadales; Selenomonadaceae.